GUCAUCCAUUUUGAAGUAUCGAUUGACUAUAGAUACCAAAAGAGACCAAUUGACUAUAGAUACUAUACUUUAUUAUUCAUUUUACAUCUUUUAUCAUAACAACUCCUUACAAGUUUUACUCACUAUCAGGCUUCCAAAUCUCUAUUGAUCAUUUCUCUUGAAAUCCUCUUAUUACUAAGAAGCUAAUCAUGUGUUAAAUUAUUAUGACAGCGGAGACCAAGAUUUUGUUGUGCCACUAGGAGCAAGAUGCGAUACAUUUCGGAGCUAGAACACAAGGUUCAGACUCUGCACACUGAAGCCACUAUAUUUUCUGCAAAACUUACUUUGUUGCAGGACUAGAAAGAACUCUUACUCAUAUAUCCAAUUAUAUCCAAUUGUAUUGAACAAUAGCAAACCAUGACACAAGGUUAUGAUCAAUUGUAGAAACACCGCUAUUAUUCAAUCUAGAAUCACCUCUAUUUAGAACGAUAUUUUUACGGUGUCAUUGUUCGAUGUAUAGUCACCGCUAUUUAGAAUCACAGCUAUUUAGGACGAGAUUUUUAUUGUUUUGUUCUUCAUUGUAAAAUCACCGCUUUUUAGAACCAUAUGUUAAAUGUGUUGUUAUUCUUCACUUGCAGAUCAACACCAAGUUCCUCAAUUUUCCGACCGUGUUAUUAUUAAGUGUAAAAUCACCGCUAUUUAGAAACAUAUUUUUACUGUGUUACCGUAUAGUUCAAAUAUGUUACCAAGAUUAUAAUCAUCAAGCUUAUCAUAAAGUUGUGAAGAAUUCGUUUUACUUGGGCACAUUUAAAAUGGUAAUGUUCAAAUGCAUCAAUUAGAUCAAGAAUGUUCAAGGAAGCAUAAAAAAAAUGCACCAGCACAACUACUCAUUUUAUGGCACGCUCAAGCAUAAAAAAAUGCAGCAGCACAACUAUCAUAUUAAAUGCACCUCAAGGAGUGGUCUGGAUAUUCUAAUCACCGAUGAGAAUGGUAUUAGCAGGAUAGCACUUCGAAUGUUGUAUACAAGGAAUUUUUUCGCAAUGUACCAACAAACUCCUUUUUUAUUGUAUUUUUACUAUUAACAUUGUAUUUGCACCAAAAACAUAUUAUUUUCUAUUUAUUUAAAUGUUCUAUUUGCCGUCAAUA
Medicago truncatula (barrel medic) is the source of this 1125-nucleotide long non-coding RNA. RefSeq lists it as uncharacterized. NCBI's taxonomy places the organism in Eukaryota, Viridiplantae, Streptophyta, Magnoliopsida, Fabales, Fabaceae. The transcript has 3 exons. The record is from RefSeq and is a predicted model, not a curated record.